This is a long non-coding RNA of Sceloporus undulatus (fence lizard), 1069 nucleotides long. RefSeq lists it as uncharacterized. The transcript has 4 exons. The record is from RefSeq and is a predicted model, not a curated record. Lineage: Eukaryota; Metazoa; Chordata; Lepidosauria; Squamata; Phrynosomatidae.
AAUAUGGAUCCUUCUCCACUUCGAAGGGACUAGGGAAGCGGAAAAGGUGUUCUAACAUUCCACAUCGUUUCAUUCCUCCUCCCCCAGUCACUGAAAAAUAGCAGAAGGUAGGGAGGAUAUGAAGAAGGAAUUGCUGAAGAGGAGGAAAAGGAGGCGAGAGAGGAAAGUCCUCAUUCAAAGUGUACAGAGGAGUUACACAUUAACAGCUUCAUCCUAUUGACUUGGAAGUCCCACUCAGUUCAAUGAGAUUUACUCCCAGGAAAACUGAAGGUGAAUGCCCACUGUCUCCAUCUGAGAUCCUGCAAUCAAUGAGGAGCUGCAGACAGUCUGCUUGGCUUUUUCAAAGGCACAGAGAGCAAAACACCAAAGAAAAUUCAUGAGUGCAUGAUGCAAACAUUGACUGACAAGUGCCAAUCAUAUUCAACUGUGAAGAAGAGAGGUGCCAACUUUCAGCGUGGAGAUUUUGUGACUGAGGAUGUAGCAAGGUCUAGGAGGCCUUCAACAGAGAACUCCUGAAAUUGUUGAGCGUGUUCAUGACCUAAUUGUGGUAGAUCGGUGAAUCUCAGCUGAAACAGGCAAUCCAUGGUAUAUGCAGAAUGCGCCUCCAGCACAACAUUUCAAAUGAGCUGAUUUUCUUUUUGUCACUUUUCUUCAUUGUUCUGCUUUCACAACCAUACAUAGAAAUCAGAAGUAGAAUGGCACUGAUGAUCCUGACUUGAGGAUUCAAUAUAUUUACAACUGUCCUCUGACAACCCUUCAAAUAGAAAAGUAUUCCUUGUUAACUUGGACACAUAGCCAUCCUAGCCGGAAAAGGGCUCUCAUCUCAGUUGGAGGGAUUUAUGUUGUGCCAGCUGUUGAAAAUCCUGGCUUUAAGGAGAUCACAUCUUUCUGUGUAUGGCUGGAUUAUAUGACAACUGGAAAGUACAUCUUUUACGAAGUACAUAUUGCCCUCCGGUGGCUUCUAUGUCAAUAGUGUAAUGAAUCAGCUCCAUGGUUUAGUUUGAAAUUUAAAGGAGCUAUGCAAGGACCUGAUGAAAACAAGUGUUCAGUCUCCCUCCAGCAAGGAAAG